CCGGCUCGACUCCAUGGCAAGAGCGUCCGCUACGGCGGAAGGUCGCGGGUUCAAAGCCCGCCGGUCCA
RNAcentral lists this transfer RNA (68 nucleotides) under Planctomycetales bacterium ZRK34. Its description in RNAcentral is "Planctomycetales bacterium zrk34 tRNA-OTHER". The record is from RNAcentral. Lineage: Bacteria; Pseudomonadati; Planctomycetota; Planctomycetia; Planctomycetales.